This 448-nucleotide ribosomal RNA is filed under the name uncultured bacterium. Its description in RNAcentral is "SSU rRNA". It matches the Rfam family "Bacterial small subunit ribosomal RNA", at positions 26 to 518 of the family's 1533-position model. The record is from RNAcentral.
AGAACGAACGCUGGCGGCAGGCUUAACACAUGCAAGUCGAACGCUCGUAGUAAUACGGGAGUGGCAGACGGGUGAGUAACGCGUGGGAACAUACCCUCCGGUUCGGAAUAGCUCAGGGAAACUUGGAUUAAUACCGGAUACGGCUGAGAGGCGAAAGAUUUAUCGCCGGAGGAUUGGCCCGCGUUCGAUUAGCUUGUUGGUGAGGUAACGGCUCACCAAGGCGAUGAUCGAUAGCUGGUCUGAGAGGAUGAUCAGCCACAUUGGGACUGAGACACGGCCCAAAACUCCUACGGGAGGCAGCAGUGGGAAUAUUGGACAAUGGGCGCAAGCCUGAUCCAGCCAUGCCGCGUGAGUGAUGACGGCCUUAGGGUUGUAAAGCUCUUUCGCUCGGGACGAUAAUGACGGUACCGAGAUAAGAAGCCCCGGCUAACUUCGCGCCAGCAGCCGC